GUCUUGCCUUAGUACGGCGAGUGAGCGGCAAAAGCUCAAAUUUGAAAUCUGGUACCUUCGGUGCCCGAGUUGUAAUUUGGAGAGGGCAACUUUGGGGCCGUUCCUUGUCUAUGUUCCUUGGAACAGGACGUCAUAGAGGGUGAGAAUCCCGUGUGGCGAGGAGUGCGGUUCUUUGUAAAGUGCCUUCGAAGAGUCGAGUUGUUUGGGAAUGCAGCUCUAAGUGGGUGGUAAAUUCCAUCUAAAGCUAAAUAUUGGCGAGAGACCGAUAGCGAACAAGUACAGUGAUGGAAAGAUGAAAAGAACUUUGAAAAGAGAGUGAAAAAGUACGUGAAAUUGUUGAAAGGGAAGGGCAUUUGAUCAGACAUGGUGUUUUGUGCCCUCUGCUCCUUGUGGGUAGGGGAAUCUCGCAUUUCACUGGGCCAGCAUCAGUUUUGGUGGCAGGAUAAAUCCAUAGGAAUGUAGCUUGCCUCGGUAAGUAUUAUAGCCUGUGGGAAUACUGCCAGCUGGGACUGAGGACUGCGACGUAAGUCAAGGAUGCUGGCAUAA
RNAcentral lists this ribosomal RNA (546 nucleotides) under Saccharomyces cerevisiae (brewer's yeast). RNAcentral's name for it is "partial large subunit ribosomal RNA". It matches the Rfam family "Eukaryotic large subunit ribosomal RNA", at positions 72 to 634 of the family's 3401-position model. Lineage: Eukaryota; Fungi; Ascomycota; Saccharomycetes; Saccharomycetales; Saccharomycetaceae. The record is from RNAcentral.